Molecule: ribosomal RNA, 892 nt
Filed under: uncultured archaeon
Lineage: Archaea
Description: bacterial SSU rRNA
Rfam family: Archaeal small subunit ribosomal RNA
Source: RNAcentral
UGGGUAUAAUACCCGAUAGUCCUUGAAUGCUGGAAUGCAUCGAGUUCGAAAGCUCCGGUGCCCAAGGAUGGGUCUGCGGCCUAUCAGGUAGUAGUGGGUGUAGCGUACCUACUAGCCUACGACGGGUACGGGUUGUGAGAGCAAGAGCCCGGAGAUGGAUUCUGAGACACGAAUCCAGGCCCUACGGGGUGCAGCAGGCGCGAAAACUUUACAAUGCCGGCAACGGCGAUAAGGGAACCUCGAGUGCCAGGUUACAAAUCUGGCUGUCGUGAUGCCUAAAAAGCAUUGCAUAGCAAGGGCCGGGCAAGACCGGUGCCAGCCGCCGCGGUAACACCGGCGGCUCGAGUGGUAACCGUUAUUAUUGGGUCUAAAGGGUCUGUAGCCGGCCGGAUAAGUCUCUUGAGAAAUAUGGCAGCUUAACUGUCAGGCUUUCAGGAGAUACUGUCUGGCUCGAGGCCGGGAGAGGUGAGAGGUACUUCAGGGGUAGGGGUGAAAUCUUGUAAUCCUUGAAGGACCACCAGUGGCGAAGGCGUCUCACCAGAACGGACCUGACGGCAAGGGACGAAAGCUAGGGGCACGAACCGGAUUAGAUACCCGGGUAGUCCUAGCCGUAAACGAUACUCGCUAGGUGUCGGCCACGGUGCGACCGUGGUCGGUGCCGUAGGGAAGCCGUGAAGCGAGCCACCUGGGAAGUACGGCCGCAAGGCUGAACUUAAAGGAAUUGGCGGGGGAGCACCACAACGGGUGGAGCUUGCGGUUUAAUUGGAUUCAACGCCGGAAAUCUUACCGGGACCGACAGCAAUAUGAAGGCCAGGCUGAAGACUUUGCCGGAUUAGCUGAGAGGUGGUGCAUGGCCGUCGUCAGUUCGUACUGUGAAGCAUCCUGUUAAGUC